Molecule: long non-coding RNA, 728 nt
Organism: Ipomoea nil (Japanese morning glory)
Lineage: Eukaryota; Viridiplantae; Streptophyta; Magnoliopsida; Solanales; Convolvulaceae
Exons: 2
Source: RefSeq, a predicted model, not a curated record
UUCUUUCUCACAAACGCAUCCUGAAGAGCUGAUGACAAUUAACUGCUAUUUACGCUAAUUCUGUCUUUUCGUUUCCAAUUCCAAGUUAUUUUCAGAUAUUCUGAACUUUGGUAACUUUUUGUGGAAUUAACCGUGUAGUUGGUUUACAACUUUGAUGAAAGAUUGCAUUUUUUUUCCCUUGCAUUGUGACAGGUUGUUUUUGGAUAAUUGGAUUGGAGUGUGUGUGCGCGCAUGUUUUUUUUUUGGAACCAAAACCAAUCUUAUUGUAGCAAUGCAAACCAAAACCAAACAGAACCCUUUUGGUUUGAAUCAAUCAGUUUUCAGUUCGUUGAACAUUACAAAUUUGUUACUACACAUUUGAAAGCUUGAACUUUAGGCUUAGAAACUGCAACUUGCCUGUAAAUUUCUAUGCCAAGUGUGUCAAUAAGAAAUCAGUAAUCAACUUUUUGCUCUUUGGAAAAUUGUAUGAACUUGUUCUCGUUGCAGUGGGAUGUGAUUGUAGCCAGCAAGUAACAGCUUUAUGUAAUUGUAAAAAGUUAAGCGGAAACAUAGGAUAACUAAGGAUGCCUAAAACCAUUUCAUAGUAACAUUGGCUGGUGAAGAAUCCAACAUAGUUUUAACUGAGGCACAUAUACUCACAUUUUUUUAUUUGGCGCAAAAACUGAUGGAGUGCAGAAUGCUCAGAUGGGUUGGCAUCAACUUCUAUGUAGUACCAAAUUACAAAUUUC